Molecule: transfer RNA, 68 nt
Filed under: Bos taurus (domestic cattle)
Lineage: Eukaryota; Metazoa; Chordata; Mammalia; Artiodactyla; Bovidae
Also listed under: 3 other names
Rfam family: tRNA
About the family: Transfer RNA (tRNA) molecules are approximately 80 nucleotides in length.
Source: Rfam by way of RNAcentral
CCCCUGGUGGCUCAGUGGUAAAGAAUCUGCCUGCAAAGCAGGAGACCCAGGUUCGAUCCCCCAGAGAA